Quercus robur (English oak) is the source of this 826-nucleotide long non-coding RNA. RefSeq lists it as uncharacterized. Lineage: Eukaryota; Viridiplantae; Streptophyta; Magnoliopsida; Fagales; Fagaceae. The record is from RefSeq and is a predicted model, not a curated record. The transcript is spliced from 2 exons.
CCUACUACACGUCUCUAGAGUCUUCUUUAAAAAAUCAAAAAUCAAAUCAGCAAACGCAAGCAGAAGACAGAAGCUUCAAUCCCAUCUCAGAUCUGUUCUCACUUCUCAAUAUUAAAUCAAAAUAUCACUCCCAAUCUCAGAAGUCUCCGUUCUCUCUACUCCCAAUCUCAAGUCUCUCUAGUCUCAGGUCUCAACCCUUCACUGACUUCAUUCCAUACCCUCCACAAUCCAAACCCCAGCUGUUGCCGCCGCCGCCUCAUCAACACACUCACAGCUUCGCCUCACUGUCCACCAUGGGUUAAGGCUUCUCAUGUUGACGGAUCAGUUUCUUAGUCUCAAGACUCAGAGCAGGACCUUUAAAAUUGUGAAGAAAAGUACAAUUGGAAUAGAUAGAGAACCUCUGUCCUAUAUAAGAUACAGAAGAGCAGGACCUUUAAAAUUGUGAAGAAAAGUACAAUUGGAAUAGAAGGAGAACCUCUGCCCUAUAUAAGAUACAGAAAUACAUGCAUCAUUGAUACCGAGAUAUUCUUUGAAAUUUCAUAGCAUUAAUUGAAGAAGAGGGGAGCUGUAUAUUGAAGAAGGAGACGAAGGAUUUUGGGUUUUGAUUAUUGUAGAAGGGGAGGUGAACCUGAAAAUACACGGGUGUGAAGAGCAAUGUUUUAUUCACCAAAAAAAAAAAAAAAAGAGCACAGCGUAAUCUGAGGGAAGACACGUCAUACAAUUAGAGUUAUAAUUUGAAAUUGUAAUCUGGACACGUGGCAUAAAAUUAGAGAUUUAAUUUGAAAUUACAAUUUGAGUUUCUCUCUGCUUCACCUAUUAUUUUAUA